CAGCCACUGAGCGUUUAGCUUGAAUCUUUACGCAGCUUCUACAGUCUUCCCAAGCAGGAAGCCCCAUCCUUCUUCUCUUCCUCAUGAAAGUCCAAUCCAUUUUGACGCCAUAAAAACUUCACAGCGACGGAUCCCGCUGGCAGAAUAUCAAGCUCCACUCAGCAAAACUCUCCAAAGCACGAUUAUUAUCGCUCAGGCCAAUGAACUACUGCCAUGUGAUGCCACUGUCUUUUGGCUAAUGCUGCCCCAUUGCCAGUAUGGUGUAUACAGUGGAGUGCAGCCACAGUACUCAUAUGUACUGUUUUACUGGAGCAAUUAAAGUUCUGCAUAUUACUCAAGAGUAGAACGUAAGCCAGCAAAAUUCAGGUUACAUGUUCUGAUUAACCACCACUCCCCCUGCUGGCCUGUCGUCCAGAAUAAAUUUGCUAGAUGAAGGAGGGUGAUUUAGCAAACAUGAUUAUCCGAAUGACCCAAACAGCACACGCAUGUGGUUUUUGUUGAACGCUGGUUUUUGCCAGACCGUGUGCUGUGUUCUUAGCGGUCCACGGGCUCUGCCUCCGGCUCUCUACUUGACAUAUAACCAACAUGUGAUCAUCUGUAAUAUGCAGAAGUUUAACUCCAAGCCCGGUGGCUGAAGAAAGGUACUACAUCCCACACACACACACACACACACACACACACACACACACACACACACACAACAUAAUUAAAAACUAAAGGGAAUUAAAAAAAUUAUAAAGUAAUGAAUCAAACAGCUUCAUAUGAGGCGAGUCAGAAAGUUGACAGGGUGCUGGGAUUAGGACUGCAGACUGGGACACUGUUAGUCGAAUCCCAGGAAGUCACAGCACAAUGUUGUGUCUUCUGGGGACACAGACUUGUCCCAUAACUAGAAGGCAAAGGCUGGGUUACGCAGCAAAGGGCAGGAUCUGGCUCACAUAGCUAGGGGAGACGUUUGAGACACCGGAGACGUUACGGGGGCUGAAAGGAUCUCCCUGAGACCUGAGAUGAAGGCCAGGUUGUGGCAGGUCACUGGCUGGCUGGGACGGCUGUCCAGCUCCAGGGCCAGGCUGCAGCUUCAGAGGGACUGGAAGGUGGGGCGGCCUUUCCAGCUCCACCAGGAAGCGAGGAUGAGGAUGGGAAGGUGAGGAAGCAGAGAACACUGGACAAUGGACUGGCAAAAAGGGAGAGGAGAGGUGAGCUUUGAGGUUCAACCAAGGCCAGGACUGGCUGGGGUACGAUGGGUCACAACACACACUGCCUGGAUCCGACCAAUCGAUUUACAUCCCCAUCUUCUGCAGACUCCACAUCCCAUCCUGACAGCAUCCUCCUGGAAACCGAAAAUCACUAAAGACAGGUCCUCCAGCACCAUGAUGACAGAGCUUGCUGGGUCAUCACAAUAACAAGGCGACUUCACCUGCAGCCCUGCAUUGGUUUCAGAUAUUAAAAUAAUAUAAUCCUCA
This is a non-coding RNA of Paramormyrops kingsleyae, 1460 nucleotides long. The record is from RefSeq and is a predicted model, not a curated record. NCBI's taxonomy places the organism in Eukaryota, Metazoa, Chordata, Actinopteri, Osteoglossiformes, Mormyridae.